This 497-nucleotide ribosomal RNA is filed under the name uncultured bacterium. RNAcentral describes it as "partial 16S ribosomal RNA". It matches the Rfam family "Bacterial small subunit ribosomal RNA", at positions 28 to 507 of the family's 1533-position model. The record is from RNAcentral.
GAUGAACGCUGGCGGCGUGCCUAAUACAUGCCAGUCGAGCGAACAGACGAGGAGCUUGCUCCUCUGACGUUAGCGGCGGACGGGUGAGUAACACGUGGAUAACCUACCUAUAAGACUGGGAUAACUUCGGGAAACCGGAGCUAAUACCGGAUAAUAUAUUUAACCGCAUGGUUCAAUAGUGAAAGACGGUUUUGCUGUCACUUAUAGAUGGCUCCGCGCCGCAUUAGCUAGUUGGUAAGGUAACGGCUUACCAAGGCAACGAUGCGUAGCCGACCUGAGAGGGUGAUCGGCCACACUGGAACUGAGACACGGUCCAGACUCCUACGGGAGGCAGCAGUAGGGAAUCUUCCGCAAUGGGCGAAAGCCUGACGGAGCAACGCCGCGUGAGUGAUGAAGGUCUUCGGAUCGUAAAACUCUGUUAUUAGGGAAGAACAAAUGUGUAAGUAACUAUGCACGUCUUGACGGUACCUAAUCAGAAAGCCACGGCUAACUACGUG